Molecule: unclassified non-coding RNA, 379 nt
Filed under: uncultured Oligoflexales bacterium
Lineage: Bacteria; Pseudomonadati; Bdellovibrionota; Oligoflexia; Oligoflexales
Description: contains 16S-23S intergenic spacer region
Source: RNAcentral
UCCGGCUUAUCACCGGCGGUUUCUUUAGAGUGCCCAACUAAAUGAUGGCAACUAAACACAGGGGUUGCGCUCGUUGAGGGACUUAACCCGACAUGCCACCACACGAGCUGACGACAGCCAUGCAGCACCUGUCUCUUUGUCGUAUUGCUACGAAAGACGUAUCUCUACGUUUGUCAAAGGAUGUCAAACCCAGGUAAGGUUCUGCGCGUUGCUUCGAAUUAAACCACAUAAUCCACCGCUUGUGCGGGCUCCCGUCAAUUCCUUUGAGUUUUAGUCUUGCGACCGUACUUCCCAGGCGGGGUACUUAUCGCGUUAGCUCCGGAUCGGCAGGGGUCAACUCCCACCAAUCCUAGUACCCAUCGUUUACAGCGUGGACUAC